CAAGUCGAACGAAGUAGCAAUACUUAGUGGCAGACGGGUGAGUAACAUGUGGGUAUUUUCCCUUUGGUGAGGAAUAACACGAGGAAACUUGUGCUAAUACCUCAUAAGUCUUUACGGAGAAAGCUUUAUGCGCCAAUGGAUGAGCCCGCACUUGAUUAGUUUGUUGGUGGGGUAACGGCCUACCAAGACGGUGAUCAAUAGCUGAUCUGAGAGGAUGAUCAGCCACAUUGGGACUGAGACACGGCCCAAACUCCUACGGGAGGCAGCAGUAGGGAAUAUUGCACAAUGGAGGAAACUCUGAUGCAGCGAUGCCGCGUGAGUGAAGAAGGCCUUUGGGUUGUAAAGCUCUUUCGUCGGGGAAGAAAAUGACUGUACCCGAAUAAGAAGGUCCGGCUAACUUCGUGCCAGCAGCCGCGGUAAUACGAAGGGACCUAGCGUAGUUCGGAAUUACUGGGCUUAAAGAGUUCGUAGGUGGUUAAAAAAGUUGGUGGUGAAAUCCCAGAGCUUAACUCUGGAACUGCCAUCAAAACUUUUUAGCUAGAGUAUGAUAGAGGAAAGCAGAAUUUCUAGUGUAGAGGUGAAAUUCGUAGAUAUUAGAAAGAAUACCGAUUGCGAAGGCAGCUUUCUGGAUCAUUACUGACGCUGAGGAACGAAAGCAUGGGUAGCGAAGAGGAUUAGAUACCCUCGUAGUCCAUGCCGUAAACGAUGUGUGUUAGACGUUGGAAAUUUAUUUUCAGCGUCGCAGCAAAAGCAGUAAACACACCGCCUGGGGAGUACGACCGCAAGGUUAAAACUCAAAUGAAUUGACGGGGACCCGCACAAGUAGUGGAGCAUGUGGUUUAAUUCGAAGAUACGCGCAGAACCUUACCAACACUUGACAUGUUCGUCGCGACUCUAAGAGGUUAGAGUCUU
Molecule: ribosomal RNA, 912 nt
Filed under: uncultured marine bacterium
Lineage: Bacteria
Description: bacterial SSU rRNA
Rfam family: Bacterial small subunit ribosomal RNA
Source: RNAcentral